UAGUUAGAGUUUCAGUAUCAAGGUAAUAAACAGAAGAAUUAGCCUGCUAUGAUGGAUAUUGGUAACGCUCAUGUGAUGUGCUCCUUAUCGCCAACCGCCGUGCUCCUUACUGAAAUUCUUUUAUUACUUUGUGAGUUGAAAGAUCAGAGGCAGGUUCAGAAGCAAGUAAAGAAGCAAGUGAACCAUCAAGCGCUGCGGGAAGGACAGUUGAGUGCUAUUCCUCAAGUUACGAGUAUUGAGUAAGUGUCGCAGUUGGGUUUCAAAGAAGAGUAUAAAGUAGCAGCCCGCGCAAAGUAUAGUUCUGUUCCUGUCAUUUCACUAAACUGGAAUAUGGAGGCAGGUAACCAAAGAGCAUUGGUAGCUGAACUUUCAGUUGACUUUUCUCUGGAAUCCUACUGUAUAGAAUAUGUGCUUGGAAAUGUUGUUUCUGUUCGAGUUAUAUCCCAUAUAAAUAAUUCAAUGGAAGACGGAAUUCGCAAUUAACAACUGUGUCGGUGAAGUAUCAAGGAACCAUAGCGCUAGUCUAGUAGGUCUCGCCCCAAAAGCCUUUUGAACCUAUAGACGUAGUCAUAGGCCUAGGCAGGUCAACGUGGUCGAAGCAACUUUCACAGUCCGUAUAGCUUUAAUCAAGUAAUAAAGACAGUUGUGAAAGUCAAACAUCAAUUCAGAAUUUCCAUUUCACGGAUGCUAUAUAAGAUAGGGAUUGAACAUGCAAACAUCAAUUCAGAAUUUCCAUUUCACAGAUGCUAUAUAAGAUAGGGAUAUGGAUUAGAGAACCUUUCCUUCCGUUAAUAGGGAUAUGGAUUCCUGAACCUUUCCUUCUGUUAGCGCCUAGGAAAACACUGAAUUCAUUGAAAUCUUUAACGGAUGCUCUAUAAUAUAUGAAUUGAUAUCUCGCAACCAGGUAUCUAGGGCUAAAGGAAUCUUCUUUUUAUUAUUUAUAAAGAAAUCAAGAAAGAUAAAAGAUUGAACUCGGCCCUUCCUUACUUAUAUGAAAUCUGUCUGCAUGUCUACUUGUUGGAUGAAACUCGGGGCACAGGGGAAACUCAGUAAGGCAAUAAAGUGAUACGCUCCUUAGCAACUUAAGGAGACUGAUAUUAGACUUCCGACUUCCCUUUCCUCACUAGCAAACUCACACUACUUAUUGUUUGCAAACUCACAUUGCUUUGUAUGACUC
RNAcentral lists this long non-coding RNA (1177 nucleotides) under Musa acuminata (dwarf banana). Its description in RNAcentral is "long non-coding RNA (MACU_LNC011671)". The record is from RNAcentral. Lineage: Eukaryota; Viridiplantae; Streptophyta; Magnoliopsida; Zingiberales; Musaceae.